RNAcentral lists this transfer RNA (71 nucleotides) under Marmota monax (woodchuck). It matches the Rfam family "tRNA". Rfam says of the family: Transfer RNA (tRNA) molecules are approximately 80 nucleotides in length. The record is from Rfam by way of RNAcentral. Lineage: Eukaryota; Metazoa; Chordata; Mammalia; Rodentia; Sciuridae.
GGGGUUGUAGCUCAGUGGUAGAGCAUUUGCCUAGCAUGCAUGAGGCACUGGGUUCGAUUCUCAGUACCCCA